This 274-nucleotide ribosomal RNA is filed under the name uncultured bacterium. Its description in RNAcentral is "partial 16S ribosomal RNA". It matches the Rfam family "Bacterial small subunit ribosomal RNA", at positions 523 to 796 of the family's 1533-position model. The record is from RNAcentral.
AUACGGAGGAUCCAAGCGUUAUCCGGAUUUAUUGGGUUUAAAGGGUGCGCAGGCGGCCUUAUAAGUCAGUGGUGAAAUCUCCCGGCUCAACCGGGAAACUGCCAUUGAUACUGUAAGGCUAGAAUACAGACGAGGUAGGCGGAAUGUAGCAUGUAGCGGUGAAAUGCUUAGAUAUGCUACAGAACACCGAUCGCGAAGGCAGCUUACCAGACUGUAAUUGACGCUAAGGCACGAAAGCGUGGGGAGUGAACAGGAUUAGAAACCCUUGUAGUCC